RNAcentral lists this transfer RNA (65 nucleotides) under Aphrophora sp. EMHAU-2015-Zz062722. Its description in RNAcentral is "tRNA-Ser". The record is from RNAcentral. Lineage: Eukaryota; Metazoa; Arthropoda; Insecta; Hemiptera; Aphrophoridae.
AGUUAAUUAACUAUAAAAAAGUGUAUAUUUUGAAAAUAUAAAAAAGAAUAAUAUUCUAUUAACUU